CCUAUAGAGAUAGGCUGUUGAUGCAGAGCAGGGGAUGGUCUCUGAAGCAGUCAACAGUUACGGUGACCGACGAAGCAACCCAGAGUGGACUUCCUUCCUUCGACUGGACUCCACAAGGAACUGGAGCUUUGGUACCAGCAGCGGCCCCUUGCGCCCAUCUGCCUCCUCGAGGAGUGCAGACGAAUUUGGUACCACUGUCUUGGUCAAUAUACACAGAGAGAAAUAACAUACUGAACACCAAUAAACGCAACUUAACUGUCAGUUGACUUCCUACUUCCUAAGAGCUACAUCGAAAGCCAAAGGCAGUGUGUGCUUGAAUUAAAUCCGUUAUAACCAAAGAAGGGAUUUGAACAUGGAGUAAAGUUGGCUUGACUGCCUGUAUCCUGACCCCAUCAAGCAUGGAAUCACUACUAACAAAAUACGUGAAACAUGAUCAAAAACCCUGGAGGCUUAAGACAGCAACUCCAUUGACUCCAACAGGCACUUCAACAGAUUUUAACAGAUGUGAGAUGAAUGACACAAAAUAAAUAAAACCUAAUGUGAACAAUCAGCCACAAGAUGGCAUUUGAAUACUAAUGUAUUUAAAGUUUGGGGCAGUAACUUAAACACAUGGCUAUUUUAAUCUUUUCCCUUCCCCGGUCACUUUUUCUCAUAUUGCCAUGUAAGAAGAUCACAACUUUAUUUUCCCUGUAGCCUAAGUCUUAAACAUUUAUUUAUCAGCUUACUUUUAAUCUCUUGUGAUGGUUGAUUUUAUAUGUCAAUUUCACUGGGUCAUGAGGUGCUC
Bos taurus (domestic cattle) is the source of this 784-nucleotide long non-coding RNA. NCBI's taxonomy places the organism in Eukaryota, Metazoa, Chordata, Mammalia, Artiodactyla, Bovidae. The record is from Ensembl.